Magallana angulata is the source of this 737-nucleotide long non-coding RNA. RefSeq lists it as uncharacterized. The transcript has 5 exons. Lineage: Eukaryota; Metazoa; Mollusca; Bivalvia; Ostreida; Ostreidae. The record is from RefSeq and is a predicted model, not a curated record.
CGACCGUAAACAGCGAACUUUCAAACGUGAUGUUAAAAGUGGCAGUGAUUUCGUUGCAAAAACAGUUAAUGUGGUAAAAUGGGAUUAUAAAAGAGCAACAUUAAAUAUUUCUGUAUUGUACCUCUUUGAUGGCGAAGAAACAUUUAACUUUUUAACACAGUUUUUAAGGUUCCAUCCAAGUAAAAUACUCCUUUGCUGUAGAGGAGUAUUUUAAAGCAUGCCAGGAUAAUAGUAAUUGCCCCGACAAUUCUGAAUGUAAACUCAUUCCUAAUAAUGGUUGUUCGAGUAACAAGUGUAAAUGUAACGAUGGUUUCGACGCCGUGGAUUUGCCAUUUCAAUCUGGUGGCCAAACCGUAACCGUUUGCGCAGAUCUGGGUUUUUGCAGUCCGUUCGACAAUUUUGAGAAUGACUGUGGGGUGAACGGGCAAUGCACUGUGAUUGUGGAUGAAUAUGGACGAAUUAGAGCCCCAAUUGUGAAGAAACAUCACCAGAAACAUCACCUUCGACCAAAAUGCCGGUCAUUACCACUACUAAAAAGCCAGGAAACAUCGGAGCCAUUCUUCCAAUCUUAGGGAGUGGAGUCCUUUUCCUUGCUUUAAUCGCCGGUGGGGCCGCUGCUUUAGCGUCCACGGCUGGAUAGAGGUCACACCUGUCCCUUAAUGCCACACAAAAUCGAAAUCUGGAUUUUAUUUUGCCUUUCUGUCAAAUAAAAGUCAAAUUUCAUAUUAAAAAAUGUU